UCUAAAUAUUGUGCGAUGCAAAUCAUCUAUGUGCGUCGCAUGAAGGUCAUGGUGCGACGCACAAAACAAAGUAAUUUGCGUCGGACCCCUUAGCCCAUCUGACGCAGAUCAGCCCAAAAGCCCAAUUUAUUUCUAACCCCAUAACCAGCGCCUCUCUCUUAACAUCUCAAACCCUAAAGCUUCUCAAAACCACCCGCCUCCCUUUCGUCCCUCUCAACCCGCCUCCCUCUCUUUCUCUCUCACUUUCGUCCCUCUCAACCCGCCUCCCUCUCUUUCUCUCUCACUUUCGUCCCUCAAACCCUAAAAUUUCGUCCCUCAAACGCAUCAGGAAGUCCCUCUCUUUGUCUCUCACUUUCGUCCCUCUUCUUCACGUCGAACAAAUCAUUUUCUCUUCAACAUCUGCUUCAGUUCGCAUCAACCGACGAUCGAAUCUUCGACGCCAUGACCUUCAGUGAGCGAUCUUCAGCGUCGACGACACCAACAACAGCAACAACACUUCGAACAACGAACGAAUCUUCAGCGAACGAACGAAUCUUCAGGUAACUUAUUUUUUUUUCUUUUUCUUUUUCUUUUUCUUGUUUUUAUUCUCCUGUUUUAAUUUUUCGUAAUUUGUCAUUUUUUUCAGAAUUCAGAUCUUGUUUGAAGACCUCGUUUUUUCAUCCUAAAAUCUCCUGAUGUGUUCGAAGUAUAACAACGAGAAGGAAGGUCAAGAUGUGAAGGAAGCUCCAACAUUUUUUUACUAUUAUUGAUAGAUUUGUUUUUAUGAAUUAUUGUAAUAUAUAUGUUCUAAAAUUCGAAGCAUUUUCGUUUUUAUUUUUCCAGAUCUGGUCGAAUUUUUGUACAGUAUUGUUAUUAGUUUUAUUUGAUUUUCAAUCCUCUA
This is a long non-coding RNA of Beta vulgaris subsp. vulgaris (sugar beet), 880 nucleotides long. RefSeq lists it as uncharacterized. The transcript has 2 exons. Lineage: Eukaryota; Viridiplantae; Streptophyta; Magnoliopsida; Caryophyllales; Amaranthaceae. The record is from RefSeq and is a predicted model, not a curated record.